AACGAACGCUGGCGGCAUGCCUAACACAUGCCAGUCGAACGAGACCUUCGGGUCUAGUGGCGCACGGGUGCGUAACGCGUGGGAACCUGCCCUUAGGUUCGGAAUAACUCCCCGAAAGGGGUGCUAAUACCGGAUAAUGUCUUCGGACCAAAGAUUUAUCGCCUUUUGAUGGGACCGCGUUGGAUUAGCUAGUUGGUAGGGUAAAAGCCUACCAAGGCGACGUUCCAUAGCUGGUCUGAGAGGAUGAUCAGCCACAUUGGGACUGAGACACGGCCCAGACUCCUACGGAAGGCAGCAGUGGGGAAUAUUGGACAAUGGGCGAAAGCCUGAUCCAGCAAUGCCGCGUGAGUGAUGAAGGCCUUAGGGUUGUAAAGCUCUUUUACCCGGGAUGAUAAUGACAGUACCGGGAGAAUAAGCUCCGGCUAACUCCGUG
RNAcentral lists this ribosomal RNA (433 nucleotides) under uncultured bacterium. Its description in RNAcentral is "partial 16S ribosomal RNA". It matches the Rfam family "Bacterial small subunit ribosomal RNA", at positions 29 to 507 of the family's 1533-position model. The record is from RNAcentral.